Poeciliopsis prolifica (blackstripe livebearer) is the source of this 779-nucleotide long non-coding RNA. RefSeq lists it as uncharacterized. Lineage: Eukaryota; Metazoa; Chordata; Actinopteri; Cyprinodontiformes; Poeciliidae. The transcript has 2 exons. The record is from RefSeq and is a predicted model, not a curated record.
CUGCACAGAAUCAUUAAAUCAUGUCAUGACUGCUGAAUGACUCAGAAAUAAACGACCGAUGAUUUGAAUGCGACUUUUAAUGAGAUGUUUUAGAGAGAAAGAAAAAAAAAACUCCAGUGGAAAAACCCGUCAGGAAGUUACUGUUACACGAUAGGCUGCAGCAGCAGCAGCAGCAGCUCAGCCCACUUCUGUGCUCAGACUUUCACACGGACUUUUUCAACUGUUCGGUUCGGUUCGGUUCGGCUCCCCGCGCAACAGCCGAGGAGAAAGCGAACAUAGAAACAUCUGCUGAUCGCUGGUGACCAAGCAUGGCCAUCAUGGUGGCUGCUGCGAUACUCAAGCUCUACGCCAUUGGAACUGCACUUUCCUUAUUGGCAUUUAUUUAUGGGAUUGCUGACUCCUUCGGGGGACUCAUGUACGCUCAGAACCACCACUACAUCCACGGACUGGACCAGCAGACACAGAGGCAGAUGCCCCCCGGGGCCCACAUGCAAAGAGCAUCUGUGACUAGAAACAUUGGCUGACGAGGAACUUUGUGAUGUUGGAUCUUUGCUUCGCUUCAAAGAGACUUGGACUGUACAUAUUUUUCUUCCCUGGGGAUGUUUUGUCUGUUUCUUUGUCUACUGUUAAAAAAACCAAAAAAUGUCGUGCAGCUAUUUUUCAGAGCAACUAGAAAGCUGCAACAGAUGUAGGAGCACUACUGAACAAUUUGCACUAAAACCAGAAUGUUUUUGUAGCCAUUUCUGAAAUAAAAUACCUUCUUUUGAAUCAUUUAACAA